This is a long non-coding RNA of Cynara cardunculus var. scolymus (artichoke), 1180 nucleotides long. RefSeq lists it as uncharacterized. The transcript is spliced from 3 exons. The record is from RefSeq and is a predicted model, not a curated record. NCBI's taxonomy places the organism in Eukaryota, Viridiplantae, Streptophyta, Magnoliopsida, Asterales, Asteraceae.
CCCAAGACGACGAUUUCACCGCUUUCCAUCGUUCUGUCGUCCAUCUCUCUGUUUUACCCUCGCUCUCCAUGACCGCAUCGUUCAACCCAAGUCACUGUUGAAAGCAUUUCAGGUAACAAUCCAUCGUUCAGUCGUCCAUCUCUCUGAUUUGGGUUUGUUUAUUUCAGUCGUCCAUCUCUCUGUUUUACCCUCGCUCUCCAUCACUGCAUCGUUCAACCCAAGUCACUGUUGAAAGCAUUUCAGGUCCUGAACAUCCAAGCUGGUCUAGAUGUUUCUAUGUGUGGAUUAUUCAACCAGCCCUUGCAGCUGUUGGAGCUCCUGAAAAUCCUGUUGAAGUAAUAACUGGCUUUCAAAAUGGAUGGCUAACAAAAAGAGCAAGCUGCAACCAGCGGGUGUUGCAGUUCAUUUGGAUUUAGUAUCAAAAGUUCAUGGGCUGGAAGAAGUAGAGAAAUCUGGUGCAAAAUCUUUAGGUGAUGAAAUUACUGAAGCUCAGGAAUAUGAUGAAAUGGAAGCCGAGUCAUCGCUAAGCAAGUGAGAACAGGUUCUGAGUCCUUAUUGUUUGUAAGUUUCUUAAAGAACGCUAUUUGGCAACUUCUGUGUUUUCCAUUUCUGCGGGUUUCUGUUAGAUUGUAAAUUUGUUCGGUAGRACGAAGAUAUAACUAAAUAUGCAGAUUUCAUAUCUAUAAGUUGCUUUAUUGCAGAUAUAGUUACAUAUUUCACAUCGACCCCUUAUAUUCUAAAUGUGAGGAGAAAAUAGAUAUGACCUCUAAACCACAAUUGGAUUCUGAAUUGAAACAGAAAUAUGGACUCGUAUUAACCGAGUUAUUGUUUGUGCAUAAAAAUUAUGUGUAAAAACCCACUAGAGUGAAGAUGGGUAAACAUAACUGCUCCGGACCAUUCCAACUUAACCAAAUCUGGCUCGACUUCAUAACUGGUUAUGAAAGGACUGAACUGGAUCAGUUAGGGACCGGUCAGCCAACCGGUUAAAACCAAAGGGACCUAUACAGGGUUUUUUCUGGGACCGGUUACAAGGACCAGGUUGAAGGCCCCGUCCAUGGGACUUGGUAAGAGUCUUGCCCAUCUGUUCUUCUAGCUCAUUUUCUUUUAUUUCCUUAAGCUAUCUUUUGUUGGCCUUUUACACCUUUUUUAGGAACCAAAUGUAAUGGGCCRUUUAUUAAAA